GACGAACGCUGGCGGCGUGCCUAAUACAUGCAAGUAGAACGCACAGUUUAUACCGUAGCUUGCUACACCAUAGACUGUGAGUUGCGAACGGGUGAGUAACGCGUAGGUAACCAGCCUGGUAGCGGGGGAUAACUAUUGGAAACGAUAGCUAAUACCGCAUAAUAUUGAUUAUUGCAUGAUAAUUGAUUGAAAGAUGCUAUUGCAUCACUACCAGAUGGACCUGCGUUGUAUUAGCUAGUAGGUGAGGUAACGGCGCACCUAGGCGACGAUACAUAGCCGACCUGAGAGGGUGAUCGGCCACACUGGGACUGAGACACGGCCCAGACUCCUACGGGAGGCAGCAGUAGGGAAUCUUCGGCAAUGGACGAAAGUCUGACCGAGCAACGCCGCGUGAGUGAAGAAGGUUUUCGGAUCGUAAAGCUCUGUUGUAAGAGAAGAACGGGUGUGAGAGUGGAAAGUUCACACUGUGACGGUAUCUGACCAGAAAGGGACGGCUAACUACGUG
This 505-nucleotide ribosomal RNA is filed under the name uncultured bacterium. RNAcentral's name for it is "partial 16S ribosomal RNA". It matches the Rfam family "Bacterial small subunit ribosomal RNA", at positions 28 to 507 of the family's 1533-position model. The record is from RNAcentral.